Molecule: long non-coding RNA, 374 nt
Organism: Ipomoea nil (Japanese morning glory)
Lineage: Eukaryota; Viridiplantae; Streptophyta; Magnoliopsida; Solanales; Convolvulaceae
Exons: 2
Source: RefSeq, a predicted model, not a curated record
CUGCAGAUUUUUUGAUCAUGCAACCAAAUCCAGUAUGACUGGCAAGAAACAUAUACACAUUGAGGAUUGGCAAAAGGAGAAACAAUUAACCAGAAGCAAAAGGGAAAGAUUAUUCCUUAUUACACACUGGCAAUAUGAUCAAAUCUUUAGAAAAUGGUGCUUCCCACCAGUAGACAGAAAUCCACCAAGAUUGAUUAAAAAUUCAAACAGUGCAGUGAUUAAACAUUUAUGUUAUCAAUGCUGUGUACACAGAUCCUGUCAGGCCGGGGUGUGAGGCCUAGGAACAAGGAAUUUUGCCUUUUGUGAGCAAGAUCCUGUCGCACAGGCUGAGGUGUGGGGCCCAAGAACAAGGGAAUUUCGCCUUUUGUGAGCAA